RNAcentral lists this ribosomal RNA (253 nucleotides) under uncultured bacterium. RNAcentral's name for it is "partial 16S ribosomal RNA". It matches the Rfam family "Bacterial small subunit ribosomal RNA", at positions 524 to 776 of the family's 1533-position model. The record is from RNAcentral.
UACAGAGGUCUCAAGCGUUGUUCGGAUUCAUUGGGCGUAAAGGGCGCGUAGGCGGCGGUGUAAGUCGGGUGUGAAAUCUCAGAGCUCAACUCUGAAACUGCACUCGAUACUGCUCUGCUUGAGGACUGGAGAGGAGACUGGAAUUCACGGUGUAGCAGUGAAAUGCGUAGAUAUCGUGAGGAAGACCAGUGGCGAAGGCGGGUCUCUGGACAGUUCCUGACGCUGAGGCGCGAAGGCCAGGGGAGCAAACGGG